RNAcentral lists this ribosomal RNA (404 nucleotides) under Verrucomicrobiota bacterium. RNAcentral describes it as "Verrucomicrobia bacterium partial 16S ribosomal RNA". It matches the Rfam family "Bacterial small subunit ribosomal RNA", at positions 355 to 776 of the family's 1533-position model. Lineage: Bacteria; Pseudomonadati; Verrucomicrobiota. The record is from RNAcentral.
UGGGGAAUAUUGCACAAUGGGGGAAACCCUGAUGCAGCGACGCCGCGUGAGCGAUGAAGGCUUUCGAGUCGUAAAGAUCUGUCCUAUGGGAAGAUAAUGACGGUACCAUAGAAGAAAGCCCCGGCUAAUUACGUGCCAGCAGCCGCGGUAAUACGUAAGGGGCGAGCGUUGUCCGGAAUUAUUGGGCGUAAAGAGUGCGUAGGCGGCAAAUUAAGUCAGAUGUGAAAACUAAGGGCUCAACCCAUAGAUUGCAUCUGAAACUGAUAUGCUUGAGUCAAGGAGAGGAAAGUGGAAUUCCUAGUGUAGCGGUGGAAUGCGUAGAUAUUAGGAGGAAUACCGGUGGCGAAGGCGACUUUCUGGACUUGAACUGACGCUGAGGCACGAAAGCGUGGGGAGCAAACAGG